Molecule: transfer RNA, 72 nt
Filed under: Chrysochromulina sp. NIES-1333
Lineage: Eukaryota; Haptophyta; Prymnesiales; Chrysochromulinaceae
Description: tRNA-Thr
Rfam family: tRNA
About the family: Transfer RNA (tRNA) molecules are approximately 80 nucleotides in length.
Source: RNAcentral
GCUGGUUUGACUUAACGGCUAAAGUUCUUGUUUUGUAAGCGAGCCAUAAUGGUUCGAAUCCAUUAAUCAGCU